This 510-nucleotide long non-coding RNA is filed under the name Trifolium pratense (red clover). RNAcentral describes it as "long non-coding RNA (TPRA_LNC010782)". Lineage: Eukaryota; Viridiplantae; Streptophyta; Magnoliopsida; Fabales; Fabaceae. The record is from RNAcentral.
UGGACAUCCAUAAGUUUCUAAAACUUAACUAUUUUACUCACAGGUAGCAAACCACACAUAAAAUAUCCUUCCAAUGUUAUUGCAAACAAGUGAACACCAAAAUACCAUAGAAGAUACUUUGAACUAAACCCGUUGCAACUACACAGAUUGAGGAUAUGUUAAAUUAUAUUGAAAAUAUAUUAUGAUCGUUGUAUUUGUUGUUUAGGAUUAAUGUGUAGGCAUAUCAUAUUGUAUCAUAUUAUGUCAAUAGAAAAAAAAUCUCUUAUAUUUAUGUUGUAUUAAUUGUCUUGAGCCUACUACAUAUAAUUGACUGUUGUGUAGUUGAAACACACUGUAUUCAACAUAUGUCUCUUCUCUCUCUCUCAACAAAUACCAAACUGCAUAAGCUAAUAUGAACUAAUAAAAUGAAGAUAUAAUGAGCACCAUACCCAAACAAUGGAGAUAUUCCAAACCAAUAACAACCUCUGCUGCAUAGAAUCUGGAUACAUAAAAAAGUUAACAAAAAUAUAA